RNAcentral lists this long non-coding RNA (4900 nucleotides) under Apis mellifera (honey bee). RNAcentral describes it as "uncharacterized LOC102656631". The record is from RNAcentral. Lineage: Eukaryota; Metazoa; Arthropoda; Insecta; Hymenoptera; Apidae.
AAAUCUCAAGAAUCUCGCUAAAAAAAAAAAAUCACCUCGAUUCCCUCGACGAGUCCCUCGACGUCCACGAUCUUCGUCGUCGCUAGAGAAAAAAAAAGAAACUCCUCCUCUCCUCUUCUAAAACUCCCCUUCUAAUUGAAAGAAUUCCCAAAGCGGAUGAGAGCGAUUAACAAAAAGUGGCGGUGUAAUAUCCAAGAUUACCUCGUCAAAAAUUACCUAGGAAAUUCGGCUUAAUUGCCCGGUACAUUCUGACCAACUCCCGCCAUUCCAACUCCUUCAUCCCCUCUCUCUCACCCAUUCUUUUUCCUCGUGAGGCACGUCUCUCUCUCUCUCUCUCUCGCGCGCGCGCGCCUGCCUUUUCACCAGAGAUCUCUCCUCGGUCCUUAAUUUAGAGGAAGCGAAAUCCCUGGCACGGCUGAUAGGCGGGCACAAAGGGCCGACGGGCCGUGUACCCUACUCGACAGGCCGCUUUGGGGCGUCGAGUGUAAUUGGCGAAAUUAAUUAACGGUCUAUAAGCGUUAUCUCGACGCCGCGUACACGUGGUCGGGCGUACACCAGGGAGGGACCUAGGCCGGGAGAAGGAGGGCGCCAGCCGGCCAACGUCGCCUCCUCGCUCUCGAGCCGAUGUCCUUCUGCCAGCCACGGAACAGGGGAGGGGGCAGGCAGAGAGAGAGAGAGAGAGAGGUGAUAUCGUUGUUGUUGAAAAUUACGGCGAGAGGGAUAUUCCACCCACGUCCACCCUAGGUGUCGUACCCUAAUUUUGACCGUGUAUUAUGCCCGUCCAUUAUGCCUGCCCGCGGAGAUGCUUAAUCUUCCGGAGGAGAAAGAGGAGGAGGAGGAACGUGGCUCGACCGUUGUUUCUAUCGGGACGAGACCCUUUGUUUUAACCCGUUAAUGGAAGAAAGGCGAAAGCGAUGAAGAUUAAUUUUGUGUUGAAAUCGUGCCACUGUAUCAAGAGUCGAUAUCACGAACUGAUGGAAAAAAAACGAAAGAAAUCUCUAUCGUGGUAUUUGUAACAUAUAUUAAUCCGAAUAAUUGUGACAGAGUGGGCGUAGAGUGUUUUUUUAAUAGUCAUGGAUCGAGAGAAGAUUGAAAUAUAUUCGUGUCUAAUGUUCAUUGGUGGAAAAAAAUCUCGCAGAACACUUAUUUUCACAUUCUUAUUUUUGAUUAUAGUAUUUGUAUUCAAACCUCGACACAUUAGACAUAUAUUUCAAUUUUGGUGAUUAUCGUAAUUUCGUGAAAAUGAAAAUAAUUUUUACGAUCUUGAAUAUUCGAAUUAUAAUAAUUCUACUACUGUGUAGCGUGUGAUGUCGGGAUUGCCAAGAAAGUUGUUUGAAGUAGAGAUACGAUCUGUCCCGCGAGACUUCUUCUCAGUACCAGUGAACGGUAUGUCGAAAGUUGAAAGUAUAGUUUCUGGAAAGGUGACAAAAGAGAAAUGGCGGAGAAGGAUCUUGUAGGAUUGCAGUAGGACAAUAUCUUACUUGCCUUUGUGCUUGCCAUCUUAUCUCUGUGGAUAAAUAGUAAAAUUAUCGUGCGAAAUAAUUCAUCGGUAAAUAAUCCAAGUGAAUUUCGCAAACGCGCUUCCUCUUGAAGAAUUUCGAUUGGAGAAUUUCUUUAUAACUAUAUAUAUCCACGUUAAAAACGAUUCUACUUUCACUACAUCUACAUUCCUUCAAUUCUAUACGCGUUAGAUUUUAAGCUACGUUCACACUGAAAGCACAUCAAAAAUAUUAUAAUUGAAAACGUUGCCUAAAACAAUGGAAACCAACUUCAGUCGACUCAACGCCAUAUUCUUUGUUCAAUGGAAUAACGUAUAUUAUCCUAUUUCUAUACACAACACAAGCAAAUUUAACUAAUUUUAUUCGCUAAAUAUUCGUUCCUUCAGAAAGAACGAGAGAGAGAAAGAGAGGAUCAGCGAGUGUCCGCGAAGAACAAGCUCGACAAAAUCACGGUCGUCGUUGUCGCGGGAGUCGCGUUGGCUUCGAGCAAAGCCGCGGAUAUAUCUGUGCAGUGGUUGGCCGGCCGCAAAACCGCGAACCGUAACUCAAUUAAUCCGGAUUGAUCCGUUCGUACACACGAGGGGACGUUUCCGCGCCCCGGCAUAAACAGCACCGGGCCCCGCUCGUCGAUCGAUCACCGUUCGCCCUCCUCUCGUCCACCGCGCGAUUAUAUCGCGGAUUACGCGCAAGAUUUUCGAGAAAUAUCGUUGGUCGGACAGCGGUGAAAGACGAGGGAGGGGAGAAAGGUUAUGGUCUUGCGAAAUUCGAGCAGGAUUCGCCGUGGAAACGAUCGGACGUUUCUAUUGGACGUUGUCGUCGAAAGUAGUUCCGUUUUUUCACACGAGUGUCGCUACUCGAACGUUUAUCCAGCCAACUUCAUUCUGAACGAAGUGUCGUUAUUAUUAUAUUUUGAGAGUUGGCAUUUCGUGGUUUAUAAGAAAGAUUCGCUCGAUUCGUGUGUUUGGUUUGUGUCUUCGUGUGAUAACAAAGACCAAAAGAAGCACUUUCGGCAUAUUUUACUUUCUUAUUAGAAGAAAAGAUAAGAAUACUGUUCAAACAAGAAAAAAGUUACGUGAAGUUGUGGAAAAAGUGUAUCAACAGUGUCGUCAGUGACAAAACUAGUUUUUAAAAUUUCGUUCCGACAGUUUCGACGUUAAAGCCGCGUUCUGCAAGACCAGUCGAAGCUAAUGAAGUUAAAACAAAGACAUUGAAUUUGUCGAAUUCGACUGAUUUAGUGUUUCAUUAUCAUGAAAAAGAACAAAAUUAUUUUUCGAAUGAUAUAUUGAUUCGAGUAAAAUGAUGAUCGUUUAUAAAUGAAAAAGAUAGAUUGACGGUUUCUCUUUCUUGAUCUUAUCAACGAGCAAGCGUUGUUUAAUUAUUAAUCUGAUCUUUGCCGGGUUUAUAGGACUGAGAUUAAGAGAAGUAGUUCAAAGCUAGAAUCGAUGGUAAAAAUUUAUUUAACUUCUUAUCUAGUUUUUAUCGAGUUUGCUUUGGGUUAAUAUCUUUUCAACUCUCUUCGUAAUAACACUUUGAAACCAGUAUUUUAACUGUCGAAUAAGAUGAAAUAUUAAUCGAUAUUUCGACUUUCCUUUUUUUUUUUAUUAUUUUCAUUAUUAUUAAAAUUCUGCGGUGGAAGAAUUCUUUUUAUUCGUUAUAUCGUUGAAAUAAUUUCAAUUUGAAACAUGCGUCCAUCCCCGAGAAGGUCAAUAAACAACGAUCGUCAAAUAAAUUCUUCGCGUAUUGAUGUGAAAUAUAUAUAUAUAUAAAAAAAAAAAAAAUCAUCAAAAAGUACCUUUUUACAAAUAUUUUUAUAAAUAAAUAAUUCAUCUCGAAUAAUUCUCUCGAUGAACGAUAAUAUCAUUUCAAAGAGCCAGAGUAUCGAGGAAAUCAUUUUUUUUUUUUCUCCUCUCUAUGAAAAAGAUUAUUGAACUGUUCGAAAAUGUUCUGGUAUCGAAUGGCUUCAGCCGUAAGAAAACGUGGAAGAAGAAGAAGAAGAAGAAAAAGUCGGUCGAGCUUUGACCCGGCGAGAGAAAAUUGUCGUGCAAGGGUUUCUCGAUAAGGAAUAAAAUAACGCGUGUGCGUCGAGUUGAGUUCGCAUGCGACGCGCAAUAAGUCUUCCCGAACGACAAAAUCGCGAGCGUGUCGCGAGAAAAUACCGCGUGAACGAUAAAAAGAUCGAGAAAUACGACGUUCUCCCGAUAAAUAUUUCCUUUCCCCUUCUCCUCCACCCUCCCCUCUCCUCCUCCACCCUCCCCUCCCCUCUCCUUCCACGCACCGUUUUCGAAGUCCCGAAUCGAGGAAGAAAAAAAUUGGGAUUCGUUUGAAACGAAUGUAAUUCAAUAACAAUCGAAACAUUCAAUAAAACGUUCAUCGAACGAGUAACAGUCUUGGAAUAACGAUAACGAAUAUGAUUUCGACGGUCGAACCUUUUAAUUUGCGGUGUAACGCGCGAAACACGCCCACCAUCGCUGCUCCCCGAUGAUCAAUCAUCGAGAAUAAAUAUUUAUUAGUCGAAAGGUUCACCGAAAUUUAAAUAAUUGAAAAAUAAACAAUUUCCAAUUUCAAUCCCCGAUACCUCUCAAUUUCAAUCGAAACCGAAUUAAACUGAUAGCACGUUUGUAUUUUCCUAUUGCCCGUAUGUAUGCAACGAUUGAUACACGGUUGAUUACCAGAAAAAAAAAAAAAAAUUUGUUUCACGAUACAGAGUUACGAAACACAAUUCCGUCGCUAAUUAAGACGACCAUUUAUUUGAUAAGAUCGGCCAUUUUGAACGAGAAAUCGCCGUAAUAGUGAAAACGUUAAAGUCGGAGUGAAUCGCUUAAUGGCGAAACGAAUACGAACUGGUGACAACGAAUAAUAUUUAAAUUACGAAGAAGAAGAAAAAAGGACGAUCGGAGAGAUGGAAACCGAAAAUUGUUCGAUGAAGCGAAACGAAGAGGAAAAGAAAAGGAAAAAAAAAAACGGCGGAGAGAAGGGUGAAAACGGCAAAGAAAAAGCGCGGGAAAUUCGAUUGGCAAUCGAGCCGGUAUCGGAGAAACGAGGAUUUUCCAAGUGGUGGCCGUCGACAAUUACGCACGGCCCAUUUAAAUGUAAUUCGACGCUGUUCGAUAGAGCCGAGUUGAGCCGAGUCGAGCCGAGUCGAGCCGAGUCGAGCCGAGUCGAGCCGAACAGGAAAUAAUGUCUCGACCGAUUGUUAUCGCGCCACGGCGAUUGCCGAUGCGAAUCAAAUUAGAUUUCGAGAGGCUUUGAAAAAAUGAGGUGAAGAGAAAACUGAAAUCGUGAAGUAUAUUGAAUUGAUAAAGGAUAUAAUUUAAGAUUGGACUGUGCAAUGGAUUGUUCCAAACGGUGUUUCUAAAAGGAUUGGAAAAGGAAGGUUUGGAAUUUUGGCGGGGGAAAAAAAA